RNAcentral lists this ribosomal RNA (403 nucleotides) under Verrucomicrobiota bacterium. RNAcentral's name for it is "Verrucomicrobia bacterium partial 16S ribosomal RNA". It matches the Rfam family "Bacterial small subunit ribosomal RNA", at positions 355 to 776 of the family's 1533-position model. Lineage: Bacteria; Pseudomonadati; Verrucomicrobiota. The record is from RNAcentral.
UGGGGAAUAUUUCACAAUGGGGGAAACCCUGAUGCAGCGACGCCGCGUGAGCGAAGAAGGUUUUCGAAUCGUAAAGCUCUGUCCUAUGAGAAGAUAAUGACGGUAUCAUAGGAGGAAGCCCCGGCUAAAUACGUGCCAGCAGCCGCGGUAAUACGUAUGGGGCGAGCGUUGUCCGGAAUUAUUGGGCGUAAAGGGUACGUAGGUGGUUUUUUAAGUCAGGUGUCAAAGCGUGGAGCUUAACUCCAUUAAGCACUUGAAACUGAAAGACUUGAGUGAAGGAGAGGAAAGUGGAAUUCCUAGUGUAGCGGUGAAAUGCGUAGAUAUUAGGAGGAAUACCGGUGGCGAAGGCGACUUUCUGGACUUUUACUGACGCUCAGGUACGAAAGCGUGGGGAGCAAACAGG